RNAcentral lists this small RNA (54 nucleotides) under unclassified sequences. Its description in RNAcentral is "M23 RNA". It matches the Rfam family "M23 RNA". The record is from Rfam by way of RNAcentral.
CGGCGGCCGCAGGCCGGAUAUACUGCGGUGUGCGGCCCAUGGCCGCAGGAAAGG